This 68-nucleotide transfer RNA is filed under the name Marmota monax (woodchuck). Its description in RNAcentral is "tRNA.Ala". The stretch from base 5 to 65 matches the Rfam family "tRNA", at positions 6 to 65 of the family's 71-position model. Rfam says of the family: Transfer RNA (tRNA) molecules are approximately 80 nucleotides in length. Their secondary structure includes four short double-helical elements and three loops (D, anti-codon, and T loops). The record is from RNAcentral. Lineage: Eukaryota; Metazoa; Chordata; Mammalia; Rodentia; Sciuridae.
GGAUUGUAGCUCAGCGGUAGAGCACUCGCCUGGCAUGUGUGAGGCCCUGGGUUCAAUCCUCAGCACCA